GCCGGAGUAGCUCAGGUGGUCAGAGCGAGGGCCUCAUAAUCCCUAGGUCGGCGGUUCGAGUCCGCCCUCCGGCACCA
Molecule: transfer RNA, 77 nt
Filed under: Bryobacterales bacterium
Lineage: Bacteria; Pseudomonadati; Acidobacteriota; Terriglobia; Bryobacterales
Description: tRNA-Met
Rfam family: tRNA
About the family: Transfer RNA (tRNA) molecules are approximately 80 nucleotides in length. Their secondary structure includes four short double-helical elements and three loops (D, anti-codon, and T loops).
Source: RNAcentral